RNAcentral lists this unclassified non-coding RNA (788 nucleotides) under Adenocalymma calcareum. RNAcentral describes it as "partial external transcribed spacer". Lineage: Eukaryota; Viridiplantae; Streptophyta; Magnoliopsida; Lamiales; Bignoniaceae. The record is from RNAcentral.
AACAACCGUGCCUGCCGUGAUUUGUCUAAAAUUGUGGCCGUAACGGGAGUGGGUAAAGAAGGUAUUUCCAUAGGGAGCCUGAGCAAACGGUGCGCCAUGUCGUGUUCAUUUAGCAUUGGUUGUGCAAUCAGUGCAUGUGGGAAAAGGGUUGGUCACGGCAUGGCAAGCUAUUUGGGAUGGCAAACCAUGGCACGGCGAGCUUGGUGCUUCGUUGUGCCUACGUGCCUAACGGGGCGUGCUUGGACGUUUUGGUUGCUAUUUGUUGUUAGCAAUGCCGGAAUGCAUUGUGAGGCAGUGAAUGGUGGCCACUUCGUUUGGGCAUCGUGUACGUACGGUGCGUGAGUGGUGGUUGGCUAGUAUGGGCACGUUGGAUCCCUGCUUGGGCAGCGACGUCGUGCCUUGCUAGUCUCUUCAGUGGGCGGCCCAAGUGCGUGCUAGCCUUGGACGUUCUUGGUUUCCUGUGUUGCAUACCUGUCGCGAGGGCAUUCAAUCAGUUAAAAACGUCCCGUUUCCGCCUUGUGCCGGGCCUUCUUGGGUUGCGGUGCGGGGUGGACCUCAAAGCACCCGUCGUGUUCCACUUCCCGUGCGUUAUCACACGUUGUCGGGAUGUUGGCCCAUGGCGUCGUGCUCGGCCUCUUGGAUGCGGAAAAUCAAGUGGGCACGAGGCCUCCGGCCCCUAUUUGUCCCGAAAUAAAGCGUUCUACGCUUCGUGCGAACGACGACCGUUGCCGUUUUGAUCGAGUCCUCGCGGCUUCGAUCACGCGGUGCCGGCGCCGAUGAGGAAUGCU